CUUUCGCAUUAGGGAUGGCAGUGGAGCUCUUUUUUGAGGCAAUUUUUCUUCACCUCAAAAAAAGCGGGAACGUACAGCCCGACCACGC
This 88-nucleotide small RNA is filed under the name Flavobacterium fluvii. RNAcentral describes it as "Flavobacterium sp. H7 Flavo-1 RNA". It matches the Rfam family "Flavo-1 RNA". The record is from Rfam by way of RNAcentral. Lineage: Bacteria; Pseudomonadati; Bacteroidota; Flavobacteriia; Flavobacteriales; Flavobacteriaceae.